UUGACUGCUCAUAUGUGCUCGGAUGUGAGAUAUUUCAAUUUCUAUAUGAUCAGGAUAAAAUGUAGUUUAUUUGGAUAUUUUGUAUCGAUUUAUGGAAUGUUAGAUGAUUUUAUAAUCGAUUUACAGAUUUAAUUGCGUAUAUUUGUAUUUAUUUAUUAAUUAUUUGAUCUUUUUGGAAACCGUCCACUCGUGACGGAGCAACGAUUUUAUUUCCGGAAGUUUCGAGAAAACUCACCUUUAGCCUAAUUUCAAUAUUCCGGACAUUUUUCGUGUUUUGACUUUUUCGAUCCGGAGUACGGUUUUCCCCGUAGUCGGUCCGGCGGAGUUUUUCGGGUAUUUUAAUUGUUGAUAAUUAUCUGGUUGUCUCGAUAAACGUGAAACUAGAUAUUUUGAUUCAUCCUUAUCUUGUAAUAAUUGCAGUGGGACCCGCAUACUAAUGACUGAUUAAAAAGCCCCGUUUUGAUGAUUAUCUUGAAAACCAGUACCGAUUGGACCCUGCUUUAUUAAUAUAAAGCUAUUAAAUACGUAUUUUCAUGUCAUAAACGAUCCAAAGGGGUACCAAUUAUUCGUAAAUAUAAAUAGACCUUUCUAGAGCUUAUUUUUACCGUAAAAAUCAUUUCACCAGUUUCUCUGCACGAAUACUGAGAGAAACCGAAGUGUGUUCUUCGUGUUCUUCGUAAUCAAACGAGGAUUUGGAGGUGUUAUUGGAAUCCGAUGGAGGCGUAUGAAUAGUCAAAACGAAGCUCUCGACGCGUAGAAUCUAGUACAAUCAUCCGUUUAUGUGCAGAUUUGUCAGGAUUUGGACGAGACGUGUACGCUCGAAGACGUCAGAAAGUCGGAAUGGUAUUGCAAAGCGAAUAAGGGAUGAUUGAGUAAGCGAAGCGAAGUGGCGAAUAGAGUAUAGCUAGAGAUGGUCUAGAGAUUACGAGAUGCAUAGAUUGUGAAAGUUGAAAGAUGAGGUUGAGCUAUGAAACUGGAGUCAGAUUUAAGGCAAGUAUCCUAAACCUUUCUCUUGGAUAUAUUGCAAAUAUUCUGAUCCAUUCCUUUGGUAUAUGUUUCAAGUAUUCAUACCUUUCUUUUCAAUGUUCGAAAGUGCGAGUAUUCUGACCUAUUCUUUCUAAUCUUCAAGUUUCUAAAGAAUUUCCGUUUUACAAAUUAAUUCGAAGUUCAGAUUGUCAUUGAAGCAUGUGUUGCUCAGUGAUAGUUAGAGCUUUGAAUGAAUUGGGAUCUUCUUGAUUAUUCAACCCGCCAUUGUCAUGCUGGUUUAGCAGGCUAAAUUCAGUUGCUUAGCCGAUAAUGGAGGAUACUGAAUAGUUAAGGAUUUCCUGAACUAUGAUUUAUGAAAUGACGGAUCAUAAUUUAUGAAUAGAUUAUUAUCAAAGUUUGAUUUGGAAUUAUUCUGUUGUUGAUGAUAUUUAUGAUGAUGUUCUGUUGAUUUACAUUGGCUUCUUGAAUUGAAUUAGAGAAUUGGAUUAUUGUUUUUAUAUAAACCUGUGGACCAGAUUCGUGGUCAUGUUAGGCCAAUGAGUGCCUUGGAUCCAGUGAUAGAGCAUGGCGGGGCCUGCUCGGGGUUAGGUAUGUCUGAUCAGCAUCCUAACCUUGGUUUUAAUUAAAAUGUGAUAGUCCAAUUCAAUAAUUCUUUUGGAAAGAUUGAAUUCCUCAGUGUUCAAUUGCUACAAGGUAUUGUGAUAUUCUUAUACAAUACCUAAACUCGUGAACUCAGGUUGAAUCCUUUUAUAUCUUGAACUCGUGAACUUCUGUUAUAUCAUUUCAGAAUUAUCAUUGUUAUUAUUACUUGCUGAGCAUUGUUGCUCACCCUUGCUAUUCCUUUCUAACCAUUUCAGAAAGGCUUAAAGUUGAGAUGAUUGAUUGAGAUUGUGGAUAAGGCUAAUGCUAGGCGAGGAGACAGAGUUGAGGAUCCAGUGGUUGAGGAGUGUUCAGGAAAGUUGAUGAGGUUGGUGCAAGCUAGAGCUGUGCUAUAGGGUUUCAAGUGUAAGUCAUAGCUGGAAUAGUUGACAGUGAUUCCUCUUAUCGAAGAUGAUCUGAUUUGGUAAGAAAUGCUGUGUAAUAUUAGUGGUGGAUUCUAAUUUCAAUACUGUAACCUGGAUGCGAUCCUGUUGUUUUAGGGGGUUGAAAUGUGCUCUUUCAAAUAUUUUAUGAUGGCUUUCAAGUUUUGAA
Daucus carota subsp. sativus is the source of this 2178-nucleotide long non-coding RNA. RefSeq lists it as uncharacterized. The record is from RefSeq and is a predicted model, not a curated record. The transcript has 2 exons. Lineage: Eukaryota; Viridiplantae; Streptophyta; Magnoliopsida; Apiales; Apiaceae.